RNAcentral lists this ribosomal RNA (513 nucleotides) under uncultured chicken cecal bacterium. RNAcentral's name for it is "bacterial SSU rRNA". It matches the Rfam family "Bacterial small subunit ribosomal RNA", at positions 8 to 521 of the family's 1533-position model. The record is from RNAcentral.
AGAGUUUGAUCCUGGCUCAGGAUGAACGCUGGCGGCGUGCCUAACACAUGCAAGUCGAACGAAGCGCUUUCUUUUGAUUCUUCGGAUGAAGAAGACUGUGACUGAGUGGCGGACGGGUGAGUAACGCGUGGGCAACCUGCCCUGUACAGGGGGAUAACAGUUAGAAAUGACUGCUAAUACCGCAUAAGCGCACGAGGACGCAUGUUCUUGUGUGAAAAACUCCGGUGGUACAGGAUGGGCCCGCGUCUGAUUAGGUAGUUGGUGGGGCAGCGGCCUACCAAGCCGACGAUCAGUAGCCGACCUGAGAGGGUGACCGGCCACAUUGGGACUGAGACACGGCCCAAACUCCUACGGGAGGCAGCAGUGGGGAAUAUUGCACAAUGGGGGAAACCCUGAUGCAGCGACGCCGCGUGAAGGAAGAAGUAUUUCGGUAUGUAAACUUCUAUCAGCAGGGAAGAAACUGACGGUACCUGACUAAGAAGCACCGGCUAAAUACGUGCCAGCAGCCGCGGU